This 981-nucleotide ribosomal RNA is filed under the name metagenome. Its description in RNAcentral is "bacterial LSU rRNA". It matches the Rfam family "Bacterial large subunit ribosomal RNA", at positions 1945 to 2925 of the family's 2925-position model. The record is from RNAcentral.
ACGGUCCUAAGGUAGCGAAAUUCCUUGUCGGGUAAGUUCCGACCCGCACGAAAGGCGUAACGAUCUGGGCACUGUCUCAACGAGAGACUCGGUGAAAUUAUAAUACCCGUGAAGAUGCGGGUUACCCGCGACAGGACGGAAAGACCCCAUGGAGCUUUACUGUAGCUUGAUAUUGAGUGCUUGUACUGCUUGUACAGGAUAGGUAGGAGCCAUAGAAGCCAGGACGCUAGUUUUGGCAGAGGCGUUGGUGGGAUACUACCCUUGCAUUAUGAUCACUCUAACCCGCACCACUGAUCGUGGUGGGAGACAGUGUCAGGUGGGCAGUUUGACUGGGGCGGUCGCCUCCCAAAAGAUAACGGAGGCGCCCAAAGGUUCGCUCAGAAUGGUUGGAAAUCAUUCGCAGAGUGUAAAGGCACAAGCGAGCUUGACUGCGAGACAGACAGGUCGAGCAGGGACGAAAGUCGGGCUUAGUGAUCCGGUGGUUCCGCAUGGAAGGGCCAUCGCUCAACGGAUAAAAGCUACCCUGGGGAUAACAGGCUUAUCUCCCCCAAGAGUCCACAUCGACGGGGAGGUUUGGCACCUCGAUGUCGGCUCAUCGCAUCCUGGGGCUGUAGUCGGUCCCAAGGGUUGGGCUGUUCGCCCAUUAAAGCGGUACGCGAGCUGGGUUCAGAACGUCGUGAGACAGUUCGGUCCCUAUCCGUCGCGGGCGUAGGAAAUUUGAGAGGAUCUGUCCUUAGUACGAGAGGACCGGGAUGGACAUACCGCUGGUGUACCAGUUGUUCCGCCAGGAGCAUCGCUGGGUAGCUAUGUAUGGAUGAGAUAAACGCUGAAAGCAUCUAAGCGUGAAACUCGCCUCAAGAUGAGAUUUCCCAUUCCUUAUGGAAGUAAGACCCCUCAGAGAUGAUGAGGUAGAUAGGAUGGAAGUGGAAGUGCCGCGAGGCAUGGAGCGGACCAUUACUAAUCGGUCGAGGACUUAACCAA